GGAUCGGUAGUUUUGUUGGUAAAGCGCUCGUCUAGCAUACAAGAGCCUUGGGUUCGAAUCCCAGCCGAGCAC
RNAcentral lists this transfer RNA (72 nucleotides) under Aedes aegypti (yellow fever mosquito). It matches the Rfam family "tRNA". Rfam says of the family: Transfer RNA (tRNA) molecules are approximately 80 nucleotides in length. Their secondary structure includes four short double-helical elements and three loops (D, anti-codon, and T loops). Further hydrogen bonds mediate the characteristic L-shaped molecular structure. tRNAs have two regions of fundamental functional importance: the anti-codon, which is responsible for specific mRNA codon recognition, and the 3' end, to which the tRNAs corresponding amino acid is attached (by aminoacyl-tRNA synthetases). tRNAs cope with the degeneracy of the genetic code in two manners: having more than one tRNA (with a specific anti-codon) for a particular amino acid; and 'wobble' base-pairing, i.e. permitting non-standard base-pairing at the 3rd anti-codon position. Lineage: Eukaryota; Metazoa; Arthropoda; Insecta; Diptera; Culicidae. The record is from Rfam by way of RNAcentral.